RNAcentral lists this ribosomal RNA (459 nucleotides) under uncultured bacterium. Its description in RNAcentral is "partial 16S ribosomal RNA". It matches the Rfam family "Bacterial small subunit ribosomal RNA", at positions 338 to 795 of the family's 1533-position model. The record is from RNAcentral.
CCUACGGGUGGCUGCAGUGAGGAAUAUUGGUCAAUGGGCGGAAGCCUGAACCAGCCAAGUAGCGUGCGGGAUGACGGCCCUACGGGUCGUAAACCUCUUUUGCACGGGGAUAACACCCCCCACGUGUGGGGGUCUGCAUGUACCGUAUGAAUAAGGGCCGGCUAACUCCGUGCCAGCAGCCGCGGUAAUACGGAAGGGCCGAGCGUUAUCCGGAUUUAUUGGGUUUAAAGGGUGCGUAGGCGGACGGUCACGUCAGCGUUAAAAGUCCGGGGUUCACCCGCGCCCCGCGGUUGAAACUGGCGGUGUUGAGUGCACAAGAGGCAGGCGGAAUUCGUGGUGUAGCGGUGAAAUGCAUAGAUAUCACGAGGAACCCCGAUUGCGAAGGCAGCAUGCCGGGGUGCGACUGACGCUGAGGCUCGAAGGUGCGGGUAUCGAACAGGAUUAGAUACCCUGGUAGUC